RNAcentral lists this ribosomal RNA (303 nucleotides) under uncultured Bacteriovorax sp. RNAcentral describes it as "bacterial SSU rRNA". It matches the Rfam family "Bacterial small subunit ribosomal RNA", at positions 29 to 334 of the family's 1533-position model. Lineage: Bacteria; Pseudomonadati; Bdellovibrionota; Bacteriovoracia; Bacteriovoracales; Bacteriovoracaceae. The record is from RNAcentral.
AACGAACGCUGGCGGCAUGCCUAACACAUGCAAGUCGAACGAGAAAGCUCUUCGGAGUGAGUAGAGUGGCGCACGGGUGAGUAACACGUAGGUCACCUGCCUUUUGGUGGGGGAUUAACUCGGAGAAAUCCGGGCUAAUACCGCAUAAGUAAGCAAUUAGAAAGAAUGCCUCUGUAUAUGCAUUUGCCGAAAGAUGGGCCUGCGGGACAUUAGCUUGAUGGUGGGGUAACGGCCUACCAUGGCGACGAUGUCUAGCGGAUUUGAGAGAAUGGUCCGUCACACUGGAACUGAGACACGGUCCAG